CCUUCGGGCGCCGACGAGUGGCGGACGGGUGAGUAACGCGUAGGAAUCUGCCUCAUAGUGGGGGACAACGUGGGGAAACUCACGCUAAUACCGCAUACGCCCUACGGGGGAAAGCGGGGGAUCUUCGGACCUCGCGCUAUGAGAUGAGCCUGCGUUAGAUUAGCUAGUUGGUAGGGUAAAGGCCUGCCAAGGCGACGAUCUAUAGCUGGUCUGAGAGGACGAUCAGCCACACUGGGACUGAGGCACGGCCCAGACUCCUACGGGAGGCAGCAGUGGGGAAUAUUGGACAAUGGGCGCAAGCCUGAUCCAGCAAUACCGCGUGUGUGAAGAAGGCCCUAGGGUUGUAAAGCACUUUCAAUUGGGAGGAAAACCUGCCGGUCAAUACCCGGUAGCUUGACAUUACCUUUAGAAGAAGCACCGGCUAACUCCGUGCCAGCAGCCGCGGUAAUACGGAGGGUGCAAGCGUUAAUCGGAAUUACUGGGCGUAAAGCGUGCGUAGGCGGUUCGUUAAGUCAGAUGUGAAAGCCCCGGGCUUAACCUGGGAACUGCAUUUGAAACUGGCGGACUAGAGUUGAGUAGAGGGGAGUGGAAUUUCAGGUGUAGCGGUGAAAUGCGUAGAUAUCUGAAGGAACACCAGUGGCGAAGGCGACUCCCUGGACUCAAACUGACGCUGAGGUACGAAAGCGUGGGUAGCAAACAGGGUUAGAUACCCUGGUAGUCCACGCUGUAAACGAUGUCAACUAGCCGUUGGUCCUAUUUACAGGAUUAGUGGCGCAGCUAACGCAUUAAGUUGACCGCCUGGGGAGUACGGCCGCAAGGUUAAAACUCAAAUGAAUUGACGGGGGCCCGCACAAGCGGUGAGCAUGUGGUUUAAUUCGAUGCAACGCGAGACUUACCUACCUUGACAUCAGAGAUCAAUC
RNAcentral lists this ribosomal RNA (920 nucleotides) under uncultured Methylobacter sp. Its description in RNAcentral is "bacterial SSU rRNA". It matches the Rfam family "Bacterial small subunit ribosomal RNA", at positions 77 to 999 of the family's 1533-position model. The record is from RNAcentral. Lineage: Bacteria; Pseudomonadati; Pseudomonadota; Gammaproteobacteria; Methylococcales; Methylococcaceae.